Molecule: long non-coding RNA, 619 nt
Filed under: Equus asinus (donkey)
Lineage: Eukaryota; Metazoa; Chordata; Mammalia; Perissodactyla; Equidae
Description: lncRNA (ENSEASG00005024642.1)
Source: RNAcentral
UUUGAGAAGAGCUGCCUCAAUGAAGCAUUCUUUAAGGAACAUCAGUGGGCUCCGGUUCCUUGGCUGUUUCUCUGAGAGCUGAUCUUCUGGAGAAGUGAACAGAUUUAUGGAAAGCAGCGUUGAGGCAUCAUGUGCUGGCGGGAGGAUUUCGACAAAGGCCAGAACCUUGAAAGACGACAGAUGACGAGGAGGCCCCUGCCCCUGGGUUCCGGCGGAUGCUCUUGUUGAGUUCAGGGCGUGAGGGGCACUUCCUAGGACACCCCCGUGGGGCUGCCCAGGUAGAGACACAGCAGGAAGGCAGCUGUCUCCAAGCCAGGAAGUGGGCUCUCACCAGCAACCAAAUCUGCCAGCACCUUGAUCUUGGGCUUCCAGCCUCCAGAACUAUCCCUGCCUCAUUCUGACUGUGAUUUGAGGCAUAGACACUGAAUACCACAGAGCCAAGCUGGAAUCUCGGCCGAGCCCUUUCUACAUGGGUGACCUUGAGCACAUUGAUUUACCUGGAUGUGUGGAGGAGAGCUCCUGAGCUUGUCUGGAUCCAACACUCUGCUCUGUCAGACCACACGGGAGGUUCCAUUUUCCAGUCUCCCUAGGCAAGGCCAUAGGACUCCUCUGAGCCCAA